Dipodomys ordii (Ord's kangaroo rat) is the source of this 70-nucleotide non-coding RNA. Lineage: Eukaryota; Metazoa; Chordata; Mammalia; Rodentia; Heteromyidae. The record is from Rfam.
GGGAAUGUGUCUCAGUUGUAGAGAGCUUGCUUUGCAUGCAUGAGGCCCUGAGUUCGAUUCUUCAGCACCA